CCUACGGGAGGCAGCAGUGGGGAAUAUUGCACAAUGGGGGGAACCCUGAUGCAGCGAUGCCGCGUGAGUGAAGAAGUCUUUUGGUAUGUAAAGCUCUAUCAGCAGGGAAGAAAAUUACGGUACCUGACUAAGACGCCCCGGCUAACUACGUGCCAGCCGCCGCGGUAAUACGUAGGGGGCAAGCGUUAUCCGGAUUUACUGGGUGUAAGGGGAGCGCAGACGGCUGUGCAAGUCUGGAGUGAAAGGCGGGGGCCCAACCCCCGGACUGCUAUGGAGACUGUAAAGCUGGAGUGCAGGAGAGGUAAGCGGAAUUCGUGGUGUAGCGGUGAAAUGCGUAGAUAUUAGGAAGAACACCAGUGGCGAAGGCAGCUUACUGAACUGCAACUGACGUUGAGGCUCGAAAGCGUGGGGAGCAAACAGGAUUAGAUACCCCUGUAGUC
This 440-nucleotide ribosomal RNA is filed under the name uncultured bacterium. Its description in RNAcentral is "partial 16S ribosomal RNA". It matches the Rfam family "Bacterial small subunit ribosomal RNA", at positions 338 to 795 of the family's 1533-position model. The record is from RNAcentral.